GGGCCUGUAGCUCAAUUGGCGGAGCGCUUGGCUGGCAGUCAAGAGGUUAGGGGUUCGACCCCCCUCAGGUCCACCU
This 76-nucleotide transfer RNA is filed under the name Candidatus Roizmanbacteria bacterium RIFCSPHIGHO2_01_FULL_37_16. RNAcentral's name for it is "tRNA-Ala". It matches the Rfam family "tRNA". Rfam says of the family: Transfer RNA (tRNA) molecules are approximately 80 nucleotides in length. Lineage: Bacteria; Candidatus Roizmaniibacteriota. The record is from RNAcentral. RNAcentral also lists the same sequence under 1 other name.